This 2894-nucleotide ribosomal RNA is filed under the name Stenotrophomonas maltophilia. Its description in RNAcentral is "bacterial LSU rRNA". It matches the Rfam family "Bacterial large subunit ribosomal RNA". The record is from RNAcentral. Lineage: Bacteria; Pseudomonadati; Pseudomonadota; Gammaproteobacteria; Lysobacterales; Lysobacteraceae.
GUUAUAUGGUCAAGCGAAUAAGCGCACACGGUGGAUGCCUUGGCGGUCAGAGGCGAUGAAGGACGUGGCAGCCUGCGAAAAGUAUCGGGGAGCUGGCAACAAGCUUUGAUCCGGUAAUGUCCGAAUGGGGAAACCCACCCGCUUGCGGGUAUCCUGCAGUGAAUACAUAGCUGCUGGAAGCGAACCUGGUGAACUGAAAUAUCUAAGUAACCAGAGGAAAAGAAAUCAACCGAGAUUCCGUAAGUAGCGACGAGCGAACGCGGACUAGCCCUUAAGCUGGAUUGGUUCUAGGAAAACGCUCUGGAAAGAGCGGCCAUAGAAGGUGAUAGCCCUGUAUCUGAAAGGGCCAUUCCAGUGAAGACGAGUAGGGCGGGGCACGUGAAACCCUGUCUGAACAUGGGGGGACCAUCCUCCAAGGCUAAAUACUACUGACCGACCGAUAGUGAACCAGUACCGUGAGGGAAAGGCGAAAAGAACCCCGGAGAGGGGAGUGAAAUAGAACCUGAAACCGUGUGCGUACAAGCAGUAGGAGCUCCGCAAGGAGUGACUGCGUACCUUUUGUAUAAUGGGUCAGCGACUUACUGUUCGUGGCAAGCUUAACCGUAUAGGGGAGGCGAAGGGAAACCGAGUCUGAUAAGGGCGCAUAGUCGCGGGCAGUAGACCCGAAACCGGGUGAUCUAGUCAUGCCCAGGGUGAAGGUGCGGUAACACGCACUGGAGGCCCGAACCCACUCCCGUUGCAAAGGUAGGGGAUGAGGUGUGAUUAGGAGUGAAAAGCUAAUCGAACCCGGAGAUAGCUGGUUCUCCUCGAAAGCUAUUUAGGUAGCGCCUCAUAUGUAUCCUCUCGGGGGUAGAGCACUGUUAUGGCUAGGGGGUCAUCGCGACUUACCAAACCAUUGCAAACUCCGAAUACCGAGACGGACUGUAUGGGAGACACACGGCGGGUGCUAACGUCCGUCGUGAAAAGGGAAACAACCCAGACCCACAGCUAAGGUCCCAAAUUCACUGCUAAGUGGAAAACCAUGUGGAAAGGCACAGACAGCCAGGAGGUUGGCUUAGAAGCAGCCACCCUUUAAAGAAAGCGUAAUAGCUCACUGGUCGAGUCGGUCUGCGGGGAAGAUUUAACGGGGCUAAGCAGUGAACCGAAGCUUGGGGUGCAUAACUUUGUUAUGCGCGGUAGAGGAGCGUUCCGUAAGCCGUUGAAGGUGGAUUGAGAAGUCUGCUGGAGGUAUCGGAAGUGCGAAUGCUGACAUGAGUAACGAUAAUGCGGGUGAAAAACCCGCACGCCGAAAGCCCAAGGUUUCCUUGCGCAACGUUAAUCGGCGCAGGGUGAGUCGGCCCCUAAGGCGAGGACGAAAGUCGUAGUCGAUGGGAAGCAGGUUAAUAUUCCUGCACCUCGCGUAAGUGCGAUGGAGGGACGGAGAAGGUUAGGUGUACCAGGCGUUGGUUGUCCUGGGGAAAGGCGGUAGGUUUGGAUCUUUGGCAAAUCCGGGAUCCUUUAAGACCGAGCACCGAGACGAGCCUUUAUGGCGAAGUCACUGAUACCACGCUUCCAGGAAAAGCUCCUAAGCUUCAGCUUACGCAGACCGUACCGUAAACCGACACAGGUGGGUAGGAUGAGAAUUCUCAGGCGCUUGAGAGAACUCGGGUGAAGGAACUAGGCAACAUGGCACCGUAACUUCGGGAGAAGGUGCACCCUUUUUGGUGGCUCGUGCGAGCUAUAGCUGAAGAGGGUCGCAGUAACCAGGCCGCUGCGACUGUUUAUCAAAAACACAGCACUCUGCAAACACGAAAGUGGACGUAUAGGGUGUGACGCCUGCCCGGUGCUGGAAGGUUAAUUGAUGGGGUCAGCCGCAAGGCGAAGCUCUUGAUCGAAGCCCCAGUAAACGGCGGCCGUAACUAUAACGGUCCUAAGGUAGCGAAAUUCCUUGUCGGGUAAGUUCCGACCUGCACGAAUGGCGUAACGACAGCGGCGCUGUCUCCACCCGAGACUCAGUGAAAUUGAAAUCGCUGUGAAGAUGCAGCGUUCCCGUGGCAAGACGGAAAGACCCCGUGAACCUUUACUAUAGCUUUACACUGAACGUUGAGUUCGUCUGUGUAGGAUAGGUGGGAGGCUAUGAAACUGUGGCGCUAGCUGCAGCGGAGCCAUCCUUGAAAUACCACCCUGUCGUGCUUGACGUUCUAACCUGGGCCCAUUAUCUGGGUCGGGGACCGUGUAUGGUGGGUAGUUUGACUGGGGCGGUCUCCUCCUAAAGAGUAACGGAGGAGCUCGAAGGUACGCUCAGCGCGGUCGGACAUCGCGCACUGUGUGCAAAGGCAUAAGCGUGCUUGACUGCAAGAUCGACGGAUCAAGCAGGUAGGAAACUAGGACUUAGUGAUCCGGUGGUUCUGUAUGGAAGGGCCAUCGCUCAACGGAUAAAAGGUACUCCGGGGAUAACAGGCUGAUACCGCCCAAGAGUUCAUAUCGACGGCGGUGUUUGGCACCUCGAUGUCGGCUCAUCACAUCCUGGGGCUGUAGUCGGUCCCAAGGGUAUGGCUGUUCGCCAUUUAAAGUGGUACGCGAGCUGGGUUCAGAACGUCGUGAGACAGUUCGGUCCCUAUCUGCCAUGGGCGUUGGAGAUUUGAGAGGGGCUGCUCCUAGUACGAGAGGACCGGAGUGGACGAACCUCUGGUGUUCCGGUUGUCACGCCAGUGGCAUUGCCGGGUAGCUAUGUUCGGAAGCGAUAACCGCUGAAAGCAUCUAAGCGGGAAGCGCGCCUCAAGAUGAGAUCUCCCGGGGCACAAGCCCCCUGAAGGAACCAUGUAGACUACGUGGUUGAUAGGUCAGGUGUGUAAGUACAGCAAUGUAUUGAGCUAACUGAUACUAAUGAUCCGUGCGGCUUGACCAUAUAACCU